UACGUAGGGUGCGAGCGUUAAUCGGAAUUACUGGGCGUAAAGCGUGCGCAGGCGGUUCGCCAAGUCAGGUGUGAAAUCCCCGGGCUUAACCUGGGAACUGCGUUUGAAACUGGGAGACUUGAGUGUGGCAGAGGGGGGUGGAAUUCCACGUGUAGCAGUGAAAUGCGUAGAUAUGUGGAGGAACACCGAUGGCGAAGGCAGCCCCCUGGGUUAACACUGACGCUCAUGCACGAAAGCGUGGGGAGCAAACAGG
This 253-nucleotide ribosomal RNA is filed under the name uncultured bacterium. Its description in RNAcentral is "partial 16S ribosomal RNA". It matches the Rfam family "Bacterial small subunit ribosomal RNA", at positions 524 to 776 of the family's 1533-position model. The record is from RNAcentral.